AUGAAGAUUACCGUGAUCGUCUUGUGUGUCGUGGUAGCGUUGUUUGGGGUCGCAAGUGCCGUCCUGGGGUCCAUCGCCGAGGGCACCAAGCUCACGCGGAAUGACAUUGAGGUGUACAGCAACGAGUGCGUGUACCCUGACAACCCGGCAUACGCACUGGCGCUGCUGGCGGCCCUCCUGCUGCUGUUGGCCCAGAUCACCGCCUCGACCGUCGGCGGUUGCUGCGGCCGCUGCAAGCCCCGGGGCGCCGGCUUCUCCGGGUCCAAGCCCGUUGCCAAGUCCAAGCGGGCCACUGGCGCCGCCCUCUGCGUCCUCUCAUGGAUAAUGGCGUUGAUCGCGGAGCGGUUCUUCUUGGUAGGUGCGGCGAUGAACAUCCCCAUGACGCGCGAAACUAGCCAGGGCCGGGGGUGUCACGCCGUCAAUGACGGCGUCUUCAUGAUGGGGGCUAUUCUGAGCAUCGUCGCCACCGUGUUCGGGAUCAUAUCUUAUAUCAUGCUUUACGCGGCGGCGGCUGGUGCUAAUACUACCAUGGGGGCCGUGGCGGGGCCGUCGUCGGCAGGCGAGAUCAGGCUUGACGGGAUCGCGAUCGGCCACCCUGUUGCCGCUCAACAACACGCGCAAGCUGUGUAG
Molecule: ribosomal RNA, 630 nt
Filed under: Triticum aestivum (bread wheat)
Lineage: Eukaryota; Viridiplantae; Streptophyta; Magnoliopsida; Poales; Poaceae
Description: partial small subunit ribosomal RNA
Source: RNAcentral